RNAcentral lists this long non-coding RNA (6407 nucleotides) under Coffea arabica (coffee). Its description in RNAcentral is "long non-coding RNA (CARA_LNC002706)". Lineage: Eukaryota; Viridiplantae; Streptophyta; Magnoliopsida; Gentianales; Rubiaceae. The record is from RNAcentral.
UUUUUUUUUUUUUUUUUUUUAUUAAACUUAAAACAAGGGAUCCCCUAUUCCCCACUAAAAUUUCAUAACAUAUACUACUGCUUAUCACGGCAGAAGAACAGUUCAACUUUAGUUUCUAUGAGCAAUUCCCCACCAACCAAGGCCAAAUGACUUUUCCUGGUCCCUAGACCAGAAAACUGUUGGAAACUCCCCCUCCCCAUUCAAAAAUCGAAAAAAAUACCCACCUUCCUCCUUCCCUCCCAGAAGAAAAAUAACAGAAGAAGUAGAACAGCCUUAAACGCAAGAAAGAAAAAGAAGAACCUUGAUUUGAAGAUCCAUAUUGCAAUCCUAAUUUAAGAAUGUCCCAGCAGAUGCUAGUAUAGUAGUACCAAGUAAUUGAACUAAAAUGACUACUUUUAAGAAGCCAGUCUUGCCAAACCCAAAAGAGUAAUCCAGCUUCCCAGUGCAUGAAUUACAAAACAACAACAAUUGAAGACAAAAUUUGUGUCACCAAUAAAUGAAAACUAUAAGAAGUAAAGGAAAGGCAUUAUGAACAUGCACUGAUCUCACUAGGAAACUAAAAAAGGGGGGGGGGGGAAUGGAAAGCUAAUUUGCACGUGUCUGGGAAACAAAAAAAAAAGGUCUCACUUUUCACGUUAUUGGAAUUGUCCUCCCUUAAAAAGAGAAAUUGAUACACCACCACCAAGUAAUAGGUUCUUCCGCAUUCACAUACAAGAUAUUCUCAAAAGGCAAAUGAAACCUAACUCAAGCAAUGCUCUGCACUACCUAAUCCCGGGCUAUGCAUGCAAACAUAGCCCCAACAUAGGACUUGAAACUGACUGUUCUAAGUCAAACUGAUAAAAAUAUACCAAUUUCCAGCUACAAUUAUCAAACUACAGGAAUCAACCUUGCCAUUCUUUUCUCAAGCUAAGAUUCCCGGUACAGAAUUAUUUGCCACUUUACACAUCAAUCAUUCGUGCUCACAAUUGACACACAAAAUGCCAUGUACCAAAAGUAUCCAUCCAGCAGCGCUGGAAUACAAUGGAUCAUCAAAUUGCUUACUCAAAUGAGAAGAACUAGAACAGCAGCAAGCUCAAGCUAAUCUCGAAAGUAAAGAUUUUCCCCUUAUGGCAAAACAUCAUCAAAAGGCAAAUUUGAAUGAUUGAUACUGAACCAUAAGCUAAACACAACCUUUCAAAUUAAAACUUUGCCCAUUUCGCCAAAUUUCUAUUCCUUCUCUUUUUGCCUAAAAUACAUCAUCCACUAUCCAUUCCAUCACAUCGGCCAACAGUAAUUUUCUCCAUUUCAUGAAAAUAAACUUACACAAUGAAACUCGCAAAUAAAAGAGAGAGAGAGAGAGCGGGGGGGGGGGGGGAAAAAUUAAAAAAAAAAAACUUUUCUUUUCUUCCCAGGGGCUGGCAAGAAAAAUCAAGAAGAAGAAAAAUGCGGACGUGGAGGAGGCAAUAAUUGGUGGGUCUGAUGAAGCACCUGGGUUUGAUUAUUGGCGGAGCUAGCACUAGCCAAGGAGGAGCUGGGAGAACUGUACUGGAGGAUGAAAGGAUGGCGCAACAACUGCGCGGCGGUCCACCGCUUAGCAGGGUCCCUCUGGAGACAAGAAGCAAUAAAAUCCCUAAACUCUCUGGACGCCGUCUGCGGCACCUCCGGAGGGUCCGACAUACAAAUGGCGCACAUGAGGGUGGCCCAAUCACCUUGCCUGCCGACCGCAAACGGAAACCUUCCCAAAUAGAAUUCCAGUAUGCUGACGCCCAAGCUCCAUAUGUCACCCGCAUAGCCGUCGUACUUGCCAUGAUUCAGAUCGGUGUUGAUUCUCUCGGGACUCAUGUAAGCAAUAGUGCCGACGGAGGAAUUGCAGGGAUCCAUAGUCUGGGCUAGGAUUCUGGAGACGCCGAAGUCGGCGAUUUUAACGGUCCUCUUGGAGUUGAUGAGGAGGUUGGAGGGUUUAAUAUCCCGGUGAACGAUCUUACGCUUGUGGAGAUAGUACAAGCCGGAGAGAAUCUGGCGAGUGAGAUCGGAAAGGGAGGGCUCGUGGGGGAUGUGGAUCCCCUCGAGGGAGCCCUUGUCCAUGUACUCGAGGAGGACUUGGAUUUCACCGUUGAGGUCGUUCAUGUCGUGGCAUCUAACCACGUUGGGGUUGUCGACGUCGCGGAGGAUCUCGAUCUCGCGGCAGAUCUGGAGGCGGACAGAGUCAUCGAGGUAGCCAUAGAUGACCUUGAGGGCGUAGAGUUUGCUGGUGGGACGGUGGAGGACUUUGUAGACGGUGCCGCCGCUGCCGCUGCCGAUGCGAUUGAUCCUCUCCAGCUGGGAGAAGUUUAGGGGAGGGGAAAAACAGGAGGAGGAGGUGGAGGAGGAGGAUGGGGCGGAGGUGGGCGGGAGGGGAAGGGGGACAGCUAACUUGGGGUCUCGCUGGGGAAGCGGAAGAGUAAGGUCGGGGCGCCGCCGCGAGCGGUUGCGAUUUGAUGCGGGGGAGGAGGAGGAGGAGGAAGAGGGAGGGGUAGCCGCGGAGGAGGCGGCUGGCGGCGAUGGUUGAAUCGGUCGCAUGAUUAGCUCUCCUCUAGGGGUGUUUGGAUUGAUUUGACCGACCGACCGACGGAUUAUCUAAACCACCUUCCAAAAAAUCUCCACCCCAAAAAAAAAAGAAGGAAAAACUAGCACUGUAUCAAUAAACAAACGGACGGACGGACGGACGGAUACUGCCCCCCCACCCCCAGUUUUCAAUUGGUCCGGAAUAAAUUCCCUCACCCGUGUUUGUUUUGGGUUGUCUUUCGUUGAAGAUAUAGAUGUCUAGGUUAUUGAUUGAUGACAAAAAUGAAAUGGAAUUUCUAUAAACGAACCCCCUAAAAAGAAAAAAAGGAAAACCCAGAGAAAAAUACAAAAUAAAAUCUGGGACUAGAAAGUAGCAGUACUAAAAUUUUUCUAGCAAAAGAAAAGCUUGGGACGAAAGAAGGGGAGGGGGCGGGGUUCGUGUUUUAGCAACUGGUAUAAUUGUUUAUUGGGCGGGUCAGGGUGGAUGGGGGGUUGUUAAUUGUUACGGUGGGGGUUGUUUCUGCAAGAAAGAGGGCAGCCCCAUCCCAUGGUGGUGGGGGAGGGAAAUGGAGGAGUACAAUUAGGGGAGAGGAAGGAAAUGGAAGCGAGAGAAAAUCGAGUACGGGAAGAGGAUGAGAAGAGCCUGAAGACGGAGAGAGAGCGGAAGGUUCUUGGAAGGAGAGAAAGACAAGGGUGACUUCUGUCUGAUUGAGUCGUGAAAGAGAAAGAAAGCUACGAGUACGAGUAGUUUGGUAGGAGAGAGAGACUUUUGCUAGUUGUAUUUUAUUUUUAAUUUUAUACUCCCCUCUUAUUUUUUAUUUUUUAUAACAGAUGUUUAAGAAAUUUAUUCUAGUGUAUUUUUAUCUGUCAUUUUAUUAUCUCCAUACAGUAUUAAUUAUUUUUUUUAUAAUCUUACCCUUUUAUCUCUCUUUUCUAAUAUAGGGUUCUUAAUUAUUAUUCCUAAUAAUUAUUGCUUGGUGGGAGUUAAUUUACACUGUUUUUGCCCUAGUGAAACAGUAUCAUUUAGUAUUCUAGUAAAAGAAAAUAUGAGUAAAUUGGACAAUUAAUGAGGGUACAAAAGAAAGUAGUGUACAGAUUUAAGCAAUGAAAAAUUUUUCUUAAUUGGUGUGCAAAAUCUUGAACGUCAGUUAUAAAAAAAGGGAGGGAAUAAGCAGCAGUAGGAGUAGGAGUAGUAAUAGUAGUGUACUUUAGGUUUGAAAUAAAUUUUUUUUUUUUGAGCUCUCAUUUAUUCUCUCAUAUAGGAGUACUACUGUAUCAAAGAUGAGGAGGAAAAAAAAAAAAAAAAAGGGCUUUGAUUUCAUGUGUAUGAAUGAUGGUACAUAUUGCCAGGCCACCAAGUGGGCGAUAGGGUGGAAUAGCAGCAAAAUGUGGCAUAUGGUGGCAUAGCAGCAAGUUAUGGGUAAAUUAAUUACAGCUUUGGUAGCAAUUGGUAGCGUAGAGAUCAAUUGCUCUAUAGAGAGUUUAUUCGUCUGAAGACAACUAUUGGUACGAACUACUGGUACUACAUCUUCUUUUUUUUUUUUUUGUUGUAAUUUUUAAAGACAAGUAAAAAAAAAAGGGAAUAGAAUUGGAUCAACUCCAGGUGCUGAAACUAAUUUGGCAUACUUUUUUUUUGUCAUUCAUCGCUAUUUUAUUUAUAUCCUAUUCUAUCCUAAUCUAUUUAAAUAGAGUUUUAACUGGACCUAUGAAGGACAAUUGAAGACUAAAUUUUCAUCGGACUAAACGGAUGUACUACGUAUCCGUUUGAAUUUACUUUUUUAAGCCAAGGGGCGAGGGGGGGGGAUAAUUGGAUCAACUCUUGGUGCUGGAACUAAUUUGGCAUGCUGGAACUAAUUGGAACUAAUUUGACACUCGUAAGAACCUAAAAAGAGUGGAAAAUGUAGUAGCUCCAUUUAAUGAAGGUGUGUGUGGAUGGGAACGGUCACACAAUUCGCAACAGUAAUAAAACGGCCAAGCAAACUUCGAGAGACUCAGAAAGUUUAUCGAGUCAGCGGGGGGGUUUUUUUUUUUUUGGCUUUUACGUUCUUUAAACAAGCAAGUGUAAUUUAUAUUUACAAUUUGCAAAUUUAUUAAAGCAAAAAAAUGCAUCAAUAUACUCACGUAGUAGUAGUUGUACGUAUAAACACGAGACAGAGUGGAUUUGAAACGAAGCACCAAAGGUCAAACUUAAACUUUGGUCGCAAGUUUGAAAAGCCCGUCUUCCCUCUCAGGUCCCUCCAUUUUCCCUUUUCCUGCCUUGUCCAAAAAAGAUUCCUCUACGUCUCCUCUCUCCCCCUUUCACACCGCCCCCCGAAGCUCCCCUCCUACUCCUCAGUCGCCACAAUAUAUAUAAACAAAAAAAGGAAGAAGCAAAGAAACGACCCCUCCCCUCCCUUGUUGUUGUUUAUGGCUUUUUUUACCUUCUCCUCCUCUUUAUUUUGUAUACCUGUAGUAGUAGUAGUAGUACCGGUGGACUACUUAGCAGGGAAGUUCAUUUUGAAAAAUAGAUGGCACGUUGCGGUCAGCAUUUUGUUUUUUGUGCUGUGUUUGUUUUUGCUUGUGUGAGCGUGUCCUACUCCUUACCUAAUAUAAUUGAAAUUGAUCAACAAAUUUGAUGCAUUGAUGAUAUAUUUCCUCUCCGCCUGCCUUCUAUCGUUUCGGGGGAAAAAAAAGAUGUAUUUUCUCUCCGCAGUCAGUCCCCAGAGAGAGAGAGAGAUGACUGAUGAGAUGGAGAGAUAUUCGAGCGAGAUUGGAUGGAGAGGUGAUGGUCAAAGCAAGGAAGGAUGGAGGUACGGGAGUUGACUUUUCGAACAAUGACAAAAGUGACGCAGGCUCAUUCUUAAUUCUUAUUGAUCGAGGAAUGGAUGGGUUGCCGCUCCACCGGGACGGGAACUCCCCCUUUUUUUUUUUUGGACAGAAAUUCUCCAUCCCCCAGCUGCCCAAAACCUCUUCACACUGGGACUUACUUUUUGAUUGAUAGGAAGCGUAUGGUUUACGAGGGUGACUGGUGCUUGUGGGUGGGUCCCGUCCUAGACUGCAUGUGGUAAGUUCCAGAGAGGCCAGAUGUCCAUCCGUCCCAUUUCUCCUCCCGACUCCUUUGCUUCAGAAGAUGUCCGUCUCCCUAUACGUCGCUGCUGCUUCUACCAAAAUAUCUUUCUUGCUGCAUUUCUUCUGUCUGUCCGACUCUGAUCCCGUUCCAUAACAACCAGCCCACAUUUUUGCCAUCACGAGACGACACCACCGUCAUUAUUUAAAUCCCUCUGAUCAAUAACUGGGCACUUCCCGCUCCUGCUCUUCUUCCAGCAUAGCGUCCGGGUAACCUACGCCUGGCUCUAACUAAAACCCAUCCAUCCACCUCCUUUUGCGCUCGUCUAUCAGACCCUCCAACGAAACCUGCUACUCUGAUGGUAAUCCCCUGUCUCUUGCCAAAAUCCCAAAAUAAGUAACAAACGCCCCCGCAGUUUUUGUUGCCCCGCUGAUGAACGCUAACCAUUGUUCAAGGUAACUAACUGCACUGUGUGUGUUACUAUAUUCAUUCAAGAUUCAGAUCCAGGCACAUAAGGAAAGACAACGGCCUGCCCUUUUUCCAGUGCUAUCCCCGCAAGCAGCUUGUCACCAGGAGCGAGCCCAAUCUUUAAGAAGAAAAGUAAAUAACUGACGGAAGGUAGCCUAUAAUUCACAACACGAAAAGCAAACAACUGUCCUUUUCGCACCUAAAGCAUAAUUUUUACAUUCGUAUCUCCACACUUUAUGUAGCAAAUACAAGAGAGUAGUGUCUUACGAUUGCAAGUGAGAGACACACGGACAUUUUUUUCAACGGCAGAAUAAGUAACAAAAUUCAUGGCUUUCAUACAUCAACAUGCUGGACAACUACACAGCUGUUG